Tachysurus fulvidraco (yellow catfish) is the source of this 457-nucleotide long non-coding RNA. RefSeq lists it as uncharacterized. The transcript has 3 exons. The record is from RefSeq and is a predicted model, not a curated record. Lineage: Eukaryota; Metazoa; Chordata; Actinopteri; Siluriformes; Bagridae.
GGAGGGGAGGAGCAGCACAAGGACAUAGAGCUUAUAAACGCCCCUUUUUUUAACUGUUUCUUCUCCCUCUAACCCCCUUCUAUCAUACACACUGUGUCAGAGAAAUCUGCUUUUGGAAGUUGAACGUAGGCUGAUGAUAUGUUUUGAGCGUAAAGUGAAUAUUUAAUAUGUUUUCCUGGAACUUACUUACUUCAAUGCAUUUUAAAAUGAAUAUUAUGUAAGAUAGUGUGACCGGGAUGAGACUACUUUCGCUUUAAGAGGAUGUGUAGGAUAAUUACACAGGUGUUUAAUCGCUUGAUCUCGUUCCCUCUGCUCAGUGCUCUAAAGGUUGCUGUGGAUAUUCUGUCUCUUCAGUUUGGUGGAUUUAGUGGCUUUAGUGACUGCUGGGCAUUCUUCAGGAGUGUCAUUUAUCAGGUCAUAAAUGCAGACGCACAGCUUUCCAGAACAGGAUGUGUAA